This is an RNA transcript of Vespula pensylvanica (western yellowjacket), 2710 nucleotides long. It is a transcript of the gene named ras-related protein Ral-a, with no coding region annotated. NCBI's taxonomy places the organism in Eukaryota, Metazoa, Arthropoda, Insecta, Hymenoptera, Vespidae. The record is from RefSeq and is a predicted model, not a curated record. The transcript has 6 exons.
ACGGAAUAUCUCCCCGGAAGAUUAGAUUGUUUUUUCAAAAGAAUUACUUUUUAUAAUUGUUAUUUAUAAUUGUUUCAUAUUUUACGAAGACAUCUUUUUGUGGUCUGUCAGAAAAAUCUUUUAUAACGGAUAUAUAGAUUUAAAUAAUUUUAUACCGUGAGAGCUUAUUAUGUAUAUAUAUGUAUAUAAAACACAAUAACUGUUGCAUUCAGUCAGUGAAUAUACAGUUAUGUGACUACUUCGUGGACGAUAAUAUAAGAUUUUUCUCUGACAGUUAACAGUGUAACGUAGCAUGAGCCAGUGAAUUAUCGACUGACAAGUAAAAUCUGAUAAUAAAUUGAUUUUCUUAAGGUCCAGUCGAUCUAAAGAUACGCUUUAGUUUACAUAUAAUCAGAGAAAAACUAUCAACAAUGUCAAAAAAGCCUGGAGCUACUCAAGCUAUGCAUAAAGUUAUUAUGGUUGGAAGUGGAGGUGUUGGAAAAUCUGCUCUAACUUUACAGUUUAUGUAUGACGAGUUUGUUGAAGAUUAUGAACCAACAAAGGCAGAUUCCUAUAGAAAAAAAGUUGUAUUAGAUGGAGAGGAAGUACAAAUAGAUAUCUUAGAUACCGCAGGACAAGAAGAUUAUGCGGCGAUUCGAGAUAAUUAUUUUCGCAGUGGAGAAGGAUUUCUUUGUGUAUUUUCUAUAACAGAAGAUGACAGUUUUCAAGCAACACAGGAAUUUAGAGAACAGAUUCUCAGAGUAAAAAAUGACGAGAACAUUCCAUUUUUAUUAGUGGGAAAUAAAAGUGACCUACAAGAAAAAAGAAAAGUCAGUUUGGCAGAAGCGCAAGCCCGGUCACAACAAUGGGGUGUACCUUAUGUAGAAACAAGUGCAAAAACAAAGGAAAAUGUUGAUAAGAAGCAUUUAACUGACCAUAAAAUGGGUUUAUGACCAAAUUAAUCAUAAGGAAAUGGGAAGGGAAUAUUGCUAAGUUCGCUAUCACUUUUGAAACUUUACUUUCACUGGUAAUAAGGAAUACAAAAGAACACUACUUAUGAAUCUUCAUGGUGUAUCCUAGAGAAAAUAAUAUGAAGGUAUUUUUUGAUUUAAUGCGGGCAAUAGCUGCUCGUAAAGCGCAAGAAAAUCAAGUGGAUGGAGAUGAACGUAAGAAAAAGACAAAAUGCUGCAUCUUGCUCUAACAAAGUAAAAAAAAAAAAGAAAGAGAGAACAAAAGAACAAAAGAAAGAAAGAAAGAAAGAAAGAAAAGUAUGUAGCUUAUAUAAGAAGACAUCUAACGCCCAAUUUCUGAAACAUGCAUAAAAGAACAGUAUUUAUACACAUUUUGUGACACUUUACACAAUAAUAUGACAAUUUAUAAUUUUUAUUAUAACCUUUAUCACCUAUUAAAAUGUUAAGAAAUUACUGAAUGUGUAUCAAGCUUUAGCGAAACGUAGAUAGGCUUAUAAUUAUACUCUAAUACUGAAGAGUGUUACGACAACUUGACCUUAUUAAGAGACAUAGUUCCUAUCUUGAAAGGUUUGCAAUAUAAUUAAUAGAUUGUAGAAUUUGUUUGGCUAGAAGACUCUCAUAAGUAGUUUUCUAUGGAUUGGGAAAGAUAAAUGAGGAAGUAAUAGUAAUACUUGACAGUAUGUACACAUUUGCAAAUAAGCAUUUUUCAUAAUUGCAAGCAUAUCUUGAAACAUUAACGCAUUAAUGCUUAGCAAAAUUUGACGUCUUCUUAUUCUAAGAGUAUUAUGAAUUAAAUUUCAUUUUUUUUUUUUUUUCAAUUAUUAUUGCCAUUAUAUAAAAAAUCUGGCAAAUGUGAGAUAUUUAAGGUCGAGAUUAUUAAAAUUGAGAUUUUGUUUUUAUACCAUAUUUGUUUCCUAUAUGUAUUCAGUUACGAUACUAUUAUCAUUAUUUUAUCACAAUACAUUUUUCACUAUAAUACAAAAGAUUUAUCAUAUAAUUUUAUCACAUCUAUCCAUUAUGUCAUCAUACGAUAAUAAAGAUAUCGCUCAUUUUGAGAUAAAGGUCCAACUUAACUUUGGUCGGUAGUGAAAACAAAGAAAAAAAGUGCAUACGUAUUAUGAGUGAUUCCUGUAUCAAAGGGAUUGCUAUGUAAUUUUACUCAUACAACGAAUGAUUACAAAAUUUUGGCAGAAUUAUUUACAGUACUCAUAAGUUAAAAAAAAAAUUGUUUUCACUGGUAUUACGAUCGAGUGUUUUAUCUCAUAAGUGUUAAAAUUGAAGUUAACUAUGCUUAUUAUUUAUGACCAAUAAAAUUUUAAUUGAUAAUAUUUAUGGACUGAUCGUUUCAUGUGAUUGCUUAUUACAUGAUAUAUAUAUAUAUAUAUGUAUGUAUGUAUGUAUGUAUUUAUGUAAAAGAACUGAAUUCAUCUAACAAUUACAUAAUAGUUUGUAUGCUUAUGAUAUAAUAAGUAAUGUGCUCUCUCUAAAUAUAUUGGUAAUAUACAACGUACAUAUAUAUAUAUAUGUAUGUGUGUAUGUAUGGUAAACAGUAUAUAAGAAUAAUGCGCAUUACUUAAGAUACAGAAGAAAUCAAAAGCCAGAUGAGCAUUCAAUUAAUAUGACUUACUUUAUUGCACCAAAUGACCUUUGCUAUACAAUAACUCAAGAAAGUACGUGAACGAGUUACGAAUUCGUGAGAAAAUGUUUUUUAAUAUUUAUAACUUUAUUAGAUUAAAUAUAUAUUCAAAUUAAAAUAUGUA